Molecule: transfer RNA, 74 nt
Filed under: Butyrivibrio sp.
Lineage: Bacteria; Bacillati; Bacillota; Clostridia; Lachnospirales; Lachnospiraceae
Also listed under: 1 other name
Description: tRNA-Leu
Rfam family: tRNA
About the family: Transfer RNA (tRNA) molecules are approximately 80 nucleotides in length. Their secondary structure includes four short double-helical elements and three loops (D, anti-codon, and T loops).
Source: RNAcentral
GCCCCGAUAGCCCAACAGGAAGAGGCAUCGGAUUUAAGCUCCGAAAAGUGAGAGUUCGAAUCUCUUUCGGGGCA